GGUAGCAUAAUCAUUAGUCUUUUAAUUGAAGGCUUGUAUGAAUGGUUGGACAAAAAGUAAGCUGUCUCGGUUAUACAAUUUGAAUUUAACUUUUAAGUGAAAAGGCUUAAAUAACCUAAGGGGACGAUAAGACCCUAUAAAGCUUUACAAUAAAUUGAAUAUAUUAAAAUCUGUUAGUGUAACUUACUAUAUUUAGAGUUUGUUUCGUUGGGGCGACGAGAAUAUAAUGAAUAACUGUUCUUUUUAAAAAUAAACAAUAAUAAUUGGUUAAAGAUUGAUCCUUUAUUAAAGAUUAAAAGAUUAAGUUACUUUAGGGAUAACAGCGUAAUCUUCUUCAAGAGUUCAGAUCGACGAGAAGGGUUGCGACCUCGAUGUUGAAUUAAGGGAUCCUUGUGGUGCAGCAGCUAUAAAGGAAGGUCUGUUCGACC
RNAcentral lists this ribosomal RNA (428 nucleotides) under Aristaeomorpha foliacea. RNAcentral's name for it is "partial 16S ribosomal RNA". It matches the Rfam family "Bacterial large subunit ribosomal RNA", at positions 1955 to 2586 of the family's 2925-position model. Lineage: Eukaryota; Metazoa; Arthropoda; Malacostraca; Decapoda; Aristeidae. The record is from RNAcentral.